Molecule: transfer RNA, 71 nt
Filed under: Cordylochernes scorpioides
Lineage: Eukaryota; Metazoa; Arthropoda; Arachnida; Pseudoscorpiones; Chernetidae
Description: tRNA-Gly
Source: RNAcentral
UGCAUCGGCCGGGAAUCGAACCCGGGCCGCCCACGUGGCAGGCAAGCAUUCUACCACUGAACCACCGAUGG